Long non-coding RNA from Bos grunniens (domestic yak), 3959 nucleotides. The record is from Ensembl. Lineage: Eukaryota; Metazoa; Chordata; Mammalia; Artiodactyla; Bovidae.
AUGUGCUACUUGGAACGUUAUUUCAGCCUCAGCUCACCAGCUUUCCAAUUUGGGCAAAGCAAGUACCUCCUCCCUGCCAUCAGCAGGAACCAAAUAAAAAUGAAUCAUUACAGCAUGAAUCUCUUUUUCAUGAUCGACCAAGAAGCACAGUGAGGUCCAAUUAAGGACAACAUUGGCAUUAAAUUUUGUUAAAUAACGUAUAGGGAAGGCCCAUGUGCUACUUGGGCGUUAUUUCAGCCUUCGCUACUCCUUUAGAGAGUUUAUGAGGAUGCUCUUAGAUGAAAUGCAGCCACAGGUUUUCAGGUUAUUUCAGUCUGUAGGGUAGGCUGUGAUGCACAGAAUGAAUAGAAACUGGAAUCUUCUUUCUUUGAAUCCCUUCUGCAUUUCACACAUGUUUAAAUAGAAAUAGGUACAUAUGAUUUCCCAAUUCUGUUGACUAGAUUUAGGAAGAUGGUGGCCUCACUUUUUAUUUUAUCAGUGCCUGGCAAAGGCAAUAGAAUAAACACUAGGUAACAGAGUAUCACAACUUUUUUUUGCAAGUUUAACUGAUAGCACCUAAUCCAACUGUAAAUAUAAUUACAAAUAAGGUUCUGAGCACCAACUCACUAAUCGGUGCCAUGUUUUCCUUUUUCUUGUUUUUAAAGGUUUUAUUUUGUUCCUUUUUCAUAUCUUUAAGUAGUUCACGAAUUUAAUCUUGAAGGAGAGUUAGAGAAAAUUUUAAGAUUUUACUACGUGUAUUCAACCCGCCUAGAUAGAUCUUCAACUGACACUGAAGCAAGGUGUAGAGUCUAGUUCAUGACUAUUUCUUACAGUUCACAAUUUAAGAACAAAGUUAACUUUAUAUACAAAUAAUAAUUUUUAACUAAUUAUAUUUAGUUGUUGCUUCAGCAACAAACCUACAACAUGGCUACCUUUAGACAUUUUUGUGUGUGUGAAAAUUUUACUUGUAAAACUGUGGCUUUUUUGACAGUGUAGCAUGUAGCAGAUACAACUCAAAGCGCAGAUAUAGAUAUGGUUGAUUUUUCUUUUUAAUCCCAAAGUUCCCUGUGAAAACUGAAUUUGCGUCCUUCUGUGACUUUUUGAGCAAAAAGUUUACAACAUGUGGAUUCUAGAUCAGGCUUUAGAGCUGAUAGAAUUUGUUGUGUGGAUAGGGUUAUUCCACAGUAUUUAGACACAAUUGUAUUCAUAAUACGUCCUGAUCUCUUUUUAUGACCUUAUUCAAAAUUACUCAAGUGGCAUAGCUGUAGCUACAAAAAUUUUCUUACUCAAAUCUAUCCAAAGGAGGGUUAAAGAAUGACAAAAGCGCAGAUUACAUUCAUUCACGUUGGUGAACUCAUUCAUACAGAUACUGUGGAAUGACCCCAUAACAGUGUUGAAGAGACAUAUGCUGCAGUUAACUGAUGGUCUCAGUUAGGGUGCGAACGUGUGAGACACACCUUUUUUGCACUUAUGUACAUAGUUCAUGAAAGUGACCCUUGGAGUUUUUUUUUUUUAAUAUAAGAAGUCUGUGAUAAUAGUGGAAAAGUUAGUAAGAGAGAGUUAUUUCUAAGACUUUGAGAAGAAGGUGUUUUUUCUUUCCUACAAGACUUAACUAAAGCAUGAUGUUGCUUUCCUGUUGUGGAGGCUUUCUAGUUUGCUACGGCUCACCAUAAGACAAGACUGGUGGCAGGUAACAGGUCAGCUUCAGCCAGUGGCACUAAACAAAAGUUCAUGUACUUCACCUUUUAGCAAGAUCGCUAGCAAAGAUUGUUUUGUGAAUUAAUCCUCAAAUGCACACACAACCCCAGGCAGGUUUGUGGUGCUAAGGUCUUUUUUCAAUGGUUACAAGCAGUGAAGUACCUUGUAAGCUGCAAGAUGGAUAUUCCCAUUCUGAUCCAAUUAGAUUUCAUCUUUCACAGAAAAUGAUCAAUUGAGAUAUAUCGGUUACAUCAAUUAAUAUAUAUUUAUGUGACAAUCAAAUUGUUAACCCGGCCACUAUUUCCCUUCAAGAUCCAGAAGCCAAAAGCGCAGAUUACAUUCAUUCACGUUGGUGAACUCAUUCAUACAGAUACUGUGGAAUGACCCCAUAACAGUGUUGAAGAGACAUAUGCUGCAGUUAACUGAUGGUCUCAGUUAGGGUGCGAACGUGUGAGACACACCUUUUUGCACUUAUGUACAUAGUUCAUGAAAGUGACCCUUGGAGUUUUUUUUUUUAAUAUAAGAAGUCUGUGAUAAUAGUGGAAAAGUUAGUAAGAGAGUUAUUUCUAAGACUUUGAGAAGAAGGUGUUUCUUUCCUACAAGACUUAACUAAAGCAUGAUGUUGCUUUCCUGUUGUGGAGGCUUUCUAGUUUGCUACGGCUCACCAUAAGACAAGACUGGUGGCAGGUAACAGGUCAGCUUCAGCCAGUGGCACUAAACAAAAGUUCAUGUACUUCACCUUUUAGCAAGAUCGCUAGCAAAGAUUGUUUUGUGAAUUAAUCCUCAAAUGCACACACACAACCCCAGGCAGGUUUGUGGUGCUAAGGUCUUUUUUCAAUGGUUACAAGCAGUGAAGUACCUUGUAAGCUGCAAGAUGGAUAUUCCCAUUCUGAUCCAAUUAGAUUUCAUCUUUCACAGAAAAUGAUCAAUUGAGAUAUAUCGGUUACAUCAAUUAAUAUAUAUUUAUGUGACAAUCAAAUUGUUAACCCCGGCCACUAUUUCCCCUUCAAGAUCCAGAAGCCAAAACCAAAUUGGCAACUAUUGAAAGAUAUAAUUUAACAGUUAAGUAUGGCCAGCACAGAGCAUUUGAUCCCCUCCAACAAAGGGAAAAAAAUGUUCCUGACACAAUUUUAUAUUUACUUUAUACCUGUUCAGUGGAAGCUAUUUUCUGACUUAGCUUUAGCAGAUUAGACAGUACUUCACUGUGCCACUUCAGCCUCCUACUCUUUUAAUGAAACAGAAGAGAACCAGCCAAAAUCUUACAUAUUAAUACACUGGAGCUAGAAAAGAAUGUCAGACCAUCUCUUUCAGCUCCCGCGUCACCUACAAAUCACCAUUUAUCUUUUUGUUGCCUCCAGGCAAUGAGGCUUAGAAAAAGGUCAAGAUUAGAAAGGUUUAAGGAUAGAUCAUCAUACAGACUUUGAGUCCUUCCCAUCUUGAGACCCGUUGCCCUUGCCCUGGAAAAGGAGCCCAUCUUGGGGUUGACAGAGUUGGUGUUAGUAUUGUUACUGAUCUUGAUAGUUCUCACUUACAGAGACAUGAAAAUAAGCCAAAGCCAGAAAGCAAUCCAAGCCUUACAGUUGUCCAAUAGCUCAGGGCCAGUUGGUCAGAAAUUUGUUCCCCCCCACCCCCCACUUCAAUCCAUGAUCACUUACAGCUAACAGCCUGACCAUCUGAUCAGCAUUUCCAUUGAUGUAAAAUGUAAGCAUUCAUUCAUUUUGUAGUUACCACCAACGUAUUUUCCCAGCUUAACCCAUGUUCUUGUGUUAAUAUUUCCUUGUGAAAAUAUAAGCCACACGGAUAUAUUUUCAUAAGGUCAAUAGAAAUAUAGUAAGAUUUUAAGUUAGGCAGAAUCAACUAUAAAAUAGUAAGAGUGAACCUAGAAGCAUCACAAAAGAUAAUCAGUUCACUGAUGGCAUGUUGUACGUACUGACAGCCACCGGGUCACAUUCUUUGGAGCUUAAACACAGUGCUGUCUUUUGAGUAAGUAAAAUUAGAGGAUAAAAGGACCUCUGUUAAACCCAGAAAAGGAUUUAGUUUCGUUAAUUCAGUUUCCACCCGCUACACUUCUUCCCUGGAAGAGAACUACCCAUCAACACCCCAAAGCAGGAUUAUCCCAGAGGCAUUUUCUCUUUAACCAUCCUCAAUUAUAGCAUACUUAGGAAAUGUAUCACUGUGAAAUAAAUCAAGCUGCAUCGUAUUACUUUAGUUGUUUUAAGAAAAAACCUCUAUAAAAUAACCCAACUUUAAGCAGUCCUCUUUCCCCACACACAACCUAAGCA